Molecule: ribosomal RNA, 497 nt
Filed under: uncultured bacterium
Lineage: Bacteria
Description: partial 16S ribosomal RNA
Rfam family: Bacterial small subunit ribosomal RNA
Source: RNAcentral
GAUGAACGCUGGCGGCGUGCCUAAUACAUGCAAGUCGAGCGAACAGACGAGGAGCUUGCUCCUCUGACGUUAGCGGCGGACGGGUGAGUAACACGUGGAUAACCUACCUAUAAGACUGGGAUAACUUCGGGAAACCGGAGCUAAUACCGGAUAAUAUAUUGAACCGCAUGGUUCAAUAGUGAAAGACGGUUUUGCUGUCACUUAUAGAUGGAUCCGCGCCGCAUUAGCUAGUUGGUAAGGUAACGGCUUACCAAGGCAACGAUGCGUAGCCGACCUGAGAGGGUGAUCGCCCACACUGGAACUGAGACACGGUCCAGACUCCGACGGGAGGCAGCAGUAGGGACGCUUCCGCAAUGGGCGAAAGCUUGACGGAGCAGCGCCGCGUGAGUGAUGCAGGUCUUCGGAUCGUAAAACUCUGUUAUUAGGGAAGAACAAAUGUGUAAGUAACUAUGCACGUCUUGACGGUACCUAAUCAGAAAGCCACGGCUAACUACGUG